Molecule: long non-coding RNA, 6645 nt
Organism: Mus musculus (house mouse)
Lineage: Eukaryota; Metazoa; Chordata; Mammalia; Rodentia; Muridae
Product: predicted gene, 57799
Exons: 3
Source: RefSeq, a predicted model, not a curated record
UCUGUUGAGAAAUUUGUAUGUGGACAACUACUAUAGUCCUGAAGAAGUGUGAUUUUAUUUAUGUCGUUCCUUCAUUAGGAAGUGUAGUCAUACUUUGAUAUGCAUGAGGAAUUCUUCUGGGAUAGCCUAUGGAUUCAAGAAGGAAGAGGGAAGCUACAUAGCCAAAUGUGUGCCUUAGAGAGGAUUCUGAUCUUAAUCACAUUAUGAAAAUGUGUUUGGGAAAAAGAGACAUGGAAGUAAGCAUGCCUGUAUGUCAGAUGGAUGGGACAGAGGUAGGAGAAAAAGGAAGAAGAAAGGGGAAGCAGGGAGAGCUUCAUAACAGAACAUCCUCAUUCAGAUAAAAUAAAGUAGACCAUUUGUCAUUAGGCAAUGACAUACAGACUUGGUGGUUGCCUGAAUAAGGAACCUGUGUGGCAAAGGUCACACCAGGAAUGACACUUGAAGCACAGUAUAACAAUAAGCUUAGGUUUGUCAGAAUACAAUGAGUUAACUGUUAGGUACGCAGAGUUACAUUAUACAAAACUGUAUUUAAGUAUAUCCCUCUAGGCGUCCACUGAUAUAUGAGUUUUAUGUGAAGGCUUCAUUCAAAAUAAGGAUGCAGGUUGAAGUAUGUUAAGUUUACUAGUAGAAGUGGGUGCAAUCACAAAAGAGAAGACUAGAAAAAGCAUUAAUACUAAUAGCAGACAGAAACAAGCCAAAUGAAUGUCUGUUGUAACUAUGAUUGGAAUAUCAUAAAUACAGUGUGGUCAUCCAUAUUUCUACAUUCUCCUCCUGCUAAGAAUUUUAGUCUGUGUUUCUAAUCAUAGAAAUAUUCAUUAAAUCUUGUACACCUAUAUUUAAGAGAAGCAAAGCCAAGAACUAAUGACAGAUUAAUGGUGAGCAGAAUUUAAGUGACCUGAAUGAAAAUUGAUUCUUGUUAUUUAAGAAAUAUUCAACAUAAUGUUUUAGUGCUAUAUAUUGUCAUAGACAGAUACAUAUAUUACUGGAUAAAGGGCAUGUGAGCAGUAUAUCCUUACAUGAAUAAUUCUUACCUAUAGGUGCUGUGGUGCUCAUUUCUCAGUCCAUUAAGUUCAAUUUAAUGCAUACAGAACAUGUCUAGAAUCAAUAGGACGUUAAAGGUUUCAUUUUCAAUUUAACUCAAAUGAAAAAAGAAAUAUGUGUACUACUUGAUAUUUCUAGCCCUUAAGCAACUUCAGCAACAGGCCCCACAGGAAGCAUGAGGCCAAGGUUAAAGUCUUGUAAGUCAAGAUGCUAUGAUACCCAAAGAACUAAUUCUCAUUGAAUUUUGUGUCUCUUGUGUUUGAUUGGCACAGCCGGAAUCUGGGAGCAGAAGUGGCACACUGCAGCUAAUUUAGGUUGCAGAUGGAGAAUUCUUGCCAUUAAAUUUUCCUGAACACUCACAAAACUCAAGGUUGAUGUGUUAGCUUCUUAGUCAUUUGAUGGUUUUUGUAUUGUUCACAAGAAGCAAACGAAUGUUAGGGGUUUUUGUUGUUGCUGUUGUUGUUCAAGAUAAAAAGCUAACAGGUGUAGGCAAUGUGGGUCCCAUUUCUGCUGACUUAGGAAGUACACUCUACUCUGUCUACUGCUGAAUUCUGCAUCUGUAGAUUCAUAUAACAAUAGGUAGAAAAAAUUAAAGUGUAUCUGUACCAAACAUAGACAGACAUUUUAUAAAUGCCAUCAUUCCUUAAAUAAUAAAUCAAUUAUGCAUAUACUAUUUACAUUGUGUUAAGUAUUGUAAGAGAUCUAGAAAUGACUUGGAACAUACAUAUUAGUACAAAGGACAGUCAUAGGUUGUAUGUAGGUAAAUUAUUUUAUGGAAGAAAUGUGAGCAUCUGCACUUGCUUUUAUCCAUAGGAGGUCCCAGAAAAAGUUUUCCUGCAUACGAAAGUAUAACUAUGCUUCCUAAAGAAGAAAUAGCAUGAGUAAAAUCCCACUUCUUCAUGACCAUAGAAGUUUUCCAUGUACAAGGGUAGCAGACCUUCACACUUUUGCCCAGAUGGCAGACUCUUACAUUGACCUUUGUUAGUGACAGGUGUGCAUAUCCCCAGCUAUGGACAUCAUCAAUCUGGUGCAGUCAUUUGCUGAAUGCAUCAUAUGAUUGUACAGUGGCUCAUAAUAUACACAUGUUUUCAAAUAGGAUACUUAAUUUAUAUUUAAGAACUCACUGCAUGGCAGAGCAAUGCUAUUAUUGCAUCAGGUUAUUGUAGGAAGUUUCAAGAGGUUAAACAGUUUGUACAAAAAUUACCUGUUCAGUAAACAGUAGAACUCAUCUCAAAGCUAAGUACCUUCCACCAUUUAAGCAAGUAUUAUGUUCAUGCCAUUCUGUGUGUCUUAUACAAAUAAACAAAAAUUACGGCAGUUGGAGGCUGAGGUUGAGGUUGUAGGCUGAGGUUGAGAUCGGACUAAUGGCUGCUGUUGUAGAAUAACAAAUGUUACUGCUGGAGCUUUACUAUUCUCCCAGAGCCCUGUGUCCCUCCACAUCUGUCCAUAUCCCCAAGUUGGACUUUGCAUCCUCAAAAUACUUCAGCAUCCACUUGAUUUUCAUCUUCUCCUAGGAGCCAAUUUCCUACCAGUCUUUCAAGAGACUCAAAUGUGACAUGUUCAUUAAAAUUUUGUACUCCGUUUUCAUGGACUCAUUUACUGUUCUCUCCUCAAGCUAUCAAGACAUAGCUUUGUUCCCACACCUAUACAGCACAUAUUAUAUUAUGUGAUGGUAUCUCAUGUUAUCUAUCUUUCCCAGGACAGUGAGUUCCCAAAGACAAGUACUUAGUUUUCAUCUUUGAAUUAUCCACAGUGUGAAGAAGAGACUGACAUAUAAUAGGCAUCCAAUAAAUGUUGGGUGAGUGGAUGAAAAAUCAGCUUAUAGGGCUGUAGAUAAUGUACUCAGCUCCAGCACAGUAGAGAUGAAUUAGAUAUUAAGGUUCUUAUCAGAGAAAGGCCAGUGCCAGCUGAGUAUCAGUUAUCUAAGUGCUCAAGGUUAGAAGCAUUAAGAAUUGAGGUUUGUUUUUCCCUCUAGAUUUUUUUGGGGGGUGCUAGACUGCUUCUGUCUGUCUGUCUGUCUCUCUGUCUGUCUUUAUUCAUUAAUCCUAUUUUACAGUCCAAACUUUAUCUCACUCCCAGUCCACUCUUCCAACUGUUCCACAUACCACACUUCUUCCCAUCUCCAAGAGGAUGUCCCUACCGACACCACCAGACCUCCCUACUCCCUGGGGCCACAAGUCGAACAUCUUGGUUAGGGCUUUGCUACUGUGAAGAGACACCGUGACCAAGCUAGACUGAUGGCCAGAAAGCCUUGUGGACUCUUCUGUCUCCACUCCCCAACCCUACAGUCCCAGGCAUGCACCAGAAAGCCUGGCGUUUAUUUGGUCUUAGGCAUCUAGAAUCAGGUCUUCAUGGUUAUGCAGAAAGAACUUCACUGACUGAGCCAUCUCCCUAGCUCUCUAAGAACCGUAACUACAACCCUGCAAUCAUCAGAACAGCCACCUCCCUAAGGGCCUACUCCCUCAUCACUACAUCACUAUACCAUUCUAUUAAAAGUUUCAAAUUAGAUGAAUCUCUGAACCUUUCUCCUCUUCACUGAGCUGUCUGUUCAAAGUCAAAUUGUGGCUUUGGAAGAAACACUGAAGGACAAGCAAUGCCACUCACAUGCAUUCAUGCAGUGGUUUCCAAACAUGCCUUGAGAUCAUCAUUCAUCAUCUCAAGGACCCUCCUCUCCAGGAAAAUGGUACCUACGCUUGAGGUGUCCUUUGUUCUUAGAAUGCAAUCUUUUUGUUGCAUCCCUGUUGACAUUGAAGAGGCUGAAAAUGUCUUAUAUACUGAUGAUAUGUCCAGUAUUUGGGAUGAAGAACAAUCUAAAGGAAGAAAUGGUAGUGUUUUCGACUGGCAUAAUGGAUAUGUCUCUGAAGUUGGAACUAGACAGUGUUGAAGGUGUUCUGGCUGAUGAUGAUAAGCUGAUUAAGAAAAGAGCUUAUAAAAAAACAAACAAAGCAAAAAAGAAAGGAGCCUAUGAGAAGAGUACAGAAAACCCUGUGGAUGGCUCAGUUGGCAAGGAGCUGUUGCGUUCCAUAGUAGUUGCCUCUGCUUAUGGCUCUAAUGGAAGCAGUUUACUUGACUCCAAGAUCCAGAGGCAAGUUGGCCUGAAAACCUCUGGAAAUAUUUCUUAAUUUCCUAUGUGGGAAUCUAUGCAGGCUGGUGUCAAAGAUGUGGACAGCUGGCUGCUGAUUGAUUGUGGUCAGUGUGAGGUGAUUAUUGGUGGCAGAUGGACCGGGAAAAUAUCAAUCACUACUGACAUAAUCACUAACCAGAAACAGUUGAGUGAUGGAGCUGACUAAAAAGAGAUGUACUGGACCUAUCUUGCUGUUGGCCAAAGUGAUCCACCAUGACCCAGUUGGUGCAGUGAGUUUAUGCCAUGGAGGGCACCACUGUGAUAUCAGCUAUGGCUGCUAGGGAUACUCUUCUGAACCUGAGUACUUGUCUGACUCUUCUAUGGAGACUAUUAAGUAGACAAAGGCAAGCAUGCUUUGAGCAUCUUCAAUGACUUUUCCAAAUAGACUGCUGCUUGUUAGAGGCCUUUGUUGCCCUGGCAACUCCCUAGAAGGGGAGCCUAUUUUGGUUGAUGUGUUGCUCUUUGCAAGAACAACCAAAAGGAAUGAUCCAUUUGGUGUUGACUCUUUAACAGCUUGUCAGUCUCAGAAACACAGAUUGGUAAUGUGCCUAUUUUCACUCCAACAAGCAUCAUUAUCAUCACUGAUGGACAGAUUAUAGAAACAGACGUAUUCUACCAAAGCAUCCGCCCUGCCAUUAUUAUUGGCUUGACUAUUUCUGCUAUCAGAUCAGCUGCUAAAAUCUGAGCUGUAAUAGUGAGAAGUAUCAUGAAGCUACAGUUUGGUUCUGAUCUUGAUGUUUGCCCCUCAACAACUCUUGAGUUAUUCUGCGUGCUUGAACAGUAGACUUUCAAGGCUAUUGAGAAAUAAGUGGCUGAUAGCUAUGUAACUAGAAGCAUCUUGGUAAGAUCACACAGUUAAAUAUGUUUUCUUGUCUUUUUCGUUAGCCAGUACCAAGCCCCAUAGGACAAAGCUGGGGAUCGGAGAAGAUCUCAGAAGAGCUGAAUGAAAAAUUCAGAAAAGACUCUGAUAUAUUUCUUGGCUGCAUUUGAAAUAUGAACUCCUAUGAAAUCACAUCAAACAGUGGCCUUGUUUCAUCAUUUGUUCACCAGUAAAAUUUGUUCCUUUGUAAAAGAAUUACUCCUAUGCUCCUGAUGUACAGAAAUAGUGUUAUGAAUAAAAGGUCCAAACUGAGUGGAUAAAAGCAGAGAGAAAGCCAAAUGAUUCUGAGGAAGACCCAUGUGUCCUAUGGGGAGGUAUCUUUGAGCUGAUGUGUUACUGACACAUAAGUCAUUAAAUAUGCCAAUGAAGUCAGCUGAAGAACUGCUAAAGAACAUUUGAUUUAUGAGCUGUGUAACAUUGCAGAUCAAUGCAAAGUGAAUGUCAUCUUAAAUAUUAUGGACAAAAUUGAAGUAAGAGCUCUGCUUAGUUUUUGGUCGACUUUACAUCAAUUGACAUUAUCCAUGAGCCUGGACUUUGAGUGCAUGCACAUGUAUACACACACACACAAACACACACACAUGCUCACACACAAACAGACAUUGGAUAUGUACUGUAAUCAGGAAAUAUAUGUUUCACCAGUAACACAUCAGGGGGAAAGUAGGUUUAAUUAAGCUUGAGCUGAUUUUGUUAUCUCUUCCCAGAUGAGCAUGGUCACUCUCAGUAAUGUCACACUGGUGAGUUAAUAUUGGGGAUAGUGGGAAGAGCAGUGACUUGAAAUUGGCCCUGACGGGAAAUGUACGCCUCAGAAUUGGGCAUCUGUUACAAAUCAAGGCCUUCUUUGUCUAUUUAUUAUCAAACACUGAACUUAAUUCAAAAUAAGGUAGUAUAUACUUGUCAUGUUCUAGGGAGAUAUUUAUGAAAUAGCAGCAAUGGGAACUGGAAGAUGGUUCAGUGUGUAAAGUGCUUGAUGCACAAGCAUGAGGACCUAAGCUCAGAUCCCUCGAAGCACAUAAAAACCACAUGCGAUGGCACGUGCCUAUAACCUUGAUGCUAGUAGAUGGAGAAAAGAAGAUCCUGGUGGGUUCUCUGGAAGGCCAAUCUAACCAAAAUGGAGAACUUCACAUUCACUGAGAAACCCUGCCUCAAAUCAAUGAAUUUGUAAAUAGGGGACAACACUAACAUCAACUUCUUACCUCCAAAAGCAAAUGUAUGCACAUAUGCAUGCGUACAAAUAUGAAUACACCCACACACAUAUGUAGCCUGCAUACAAAGUGAAAUCAAUUAUCUGAAAACAAAAGCAUGACAAAGAGAAAUGUUGAGCAAAAUGUGAUACAAUAAGCAUCCCCACCUCUGUUGGUAGCAUCAUAAAAUAAUACCUGAGGAGAUAACUCGGCAAUGUCUAUCAAAUUAAAGGCAUUUUUUUAUCCUAGGACAGCAAUUCUAUACCACUCAGAGAACCUUUCACCUACCUAUAUUUACUAGGAGUCAUAUAUAAGCUGUGACAACAGGGAACAACAUAAAUCUUGCGUGUGCUCAACUGGCCAGGAAGAAUGACGCUGCAACAGGAUCCUUCUGCACACGUUUAUUGGGAGAGCAUUGA